RNAcentral lists this ribosomal RNA (690 nucleotides) under Hyphomicrobium sp. enrichment culture clone o189. RNAcentral describes it as "bacterial SSU rRNA". It matches the Rfam family "Bacterial small subunit ribosomal RNA", at positions 1 to 743 of the family's 1533-position model. The record is from RNAcentral. Lineage: Bacteria; Pseudomonadati; Pseudomonadota; Alphaproteobacteria; Hyphomicrobiales; Hyphomicrobiaceae.
UUGAGUUUGAUCCUGGCUCAGAACGAACGCUGGCGGCAGGCCUAACACAUGCAAGUCGAACGCUGUAGCAAUACAGAGUGGCAGACGGGUGAGUAACACGUGGGAAUCUUCCUAUCGGUACGGAAUAGCUCAGGGAAACUUGGGGUAAUACCGCAUACGCCCUUCGGGGGAAAGAUUUAUCGCCGAUAGAUGAGCCCGCGUCUGAUUAGCUAGUUGGUGAGGUAAUGGCUCACUAAGGCGACGAUCAGUAGCUGGUCUGAGAGGAUGAUCAGCCACACUGGGACUGAGACACGGCCCAGACUCCUACGGGAGGCAGCAGUGGGGAAUAUUGGACAAUGGGCGAAAGCCUGAUCCAGCCAUGCCGCGUGAGUGACGAAGGUCUUCGGAUUGUAAAGCUCUUUUGGCGGGGACGAUAAUGACGGUACCCGCAGAAUAAGCCCCGGCUAACUUCGUGCCAGCAGCCGCGGUAAUACGAAGGGGGCUAGCGUUGUUCGGAAUUACUGGGCGUAAAGCGCACGUAGGCGGAUUUGUUAGUCAGGGGUGAAAUCCCGGGGCUCAACCUCGGAACUGCCUUUGAUACUGCAAGUCUCGAGUCCGGAAGAGGUGAGUGGAAUUCCUAGUGUAGAGGUGAAAUUCGUAGAUAUUAGGAAGAACACCAGUGGCGAAGGCGGCUCACUGGUCCGGUACUGA